GUAAUUCCUUGCUAAUGAUGCCACGUCACCUCUGUCACUGUAGUUAAUCUCGGGUUAGUUCAAAACCGAUUCAAAUUUAAAAUUGAAUUAAAGUCAAACGGUAAAGAUUUUCUAAUAUUAAAACUAAAAUGUUGGGGUGUUGCCAAAUAAUGCAUAGGUAAUUAUUGUGGAGAAAGAACAUUCUUAUAAAAAGUUUAAAUGCACUUAAAUGAUUAAAACAGUAGGUAAAGCUAUUAAAUAAAUGCCUUUGAUAUUUUAUAAAAUCAUAAACUAUUUUAUCUUGAGGUAAAACUUUUUAGGGUAGUGGGUUGUUUUGAAACACUAAUUUGGAGCUAUUGUCAUAUUUUACUAAACUAAGAAUAAAGUGUAACUAAAAUAAAACAGAAAAGGAAAAAUAAUAAAAGAAAAGAAAACCAGAAAAACAAAAUAAAAGGAAAUAAAAGCCACCUUGGCCAACCGGGCCAAACGGCCCAGCCGGCCAGCCCACCCCGGCCCAGCCGGCCACCCAUCUCUCUCUGGCCUGCUAAGGCCGCCGCCCCCACCCGCUAAACCUAACUUCCCCCACUUCUCCCACUUCCUCGAUCCCCUUCUUCCCCUCCCGAUCAGGAAGCCCUGUCGGGCUCGUCCCGACCACGCCGCCUCUCCCCGGUGACCGCGCCGCCCCACUCCUCGACACCGGCGCCCGCCUCUUCAACCCUCCCUCCUGCGUGGAUCUGGUCGGGGGCAAUCGACGCCCCCGACGCCCUGCGCCCACGCCGAUGCCAUACCCCGUCAUCACCGUCCCCACCCGUCGACGACGUUCGCCUCCUCGACCCCUUCCCCGACGGACUCUCCCGCGCUUCGCCGACGAACCCCUGCACCGGGGGUAUGACCCCAUCUCCCCCUGCCCCUUCCCCUACGCCGGUCGCUCCUUCACCGCGCUCACCACGUCGCCCCGUCGCUCACCGUCCGAUGCUGCGCGCCGCGUCCGACUACGCAUCACUGCGGCCAGCAACUGCUGCUGCCCGGCUCGGCCGCUCCCUGCUUGCGUGCCCCACGCCCAGCCCUGCAUCCGCACGCCCAUGGUGCCGCCCGCCGGAGCCCCGCCUCCGCCCGCUGUUGCUUCGCCGACUUCCGCAGCCUGCCGUUUCCACCAUUCCCUCGCGCGCGCCGGCGUCCCUCUCGUGCUCCCCGCACUGGCGCCGGGCCGCGUCCUGCUCCCCCUUCCCAGCGCUCUGCGCGUUGGCCGCUGGCGCUCCUCUGGAGCGGUUGGGCGUGCCUUGCCUUGCCUUGCCGUGGCCGGCUCGGCCACUGCCAAUGGCCCCCUGGCUUAAUUAGGGGCUAAUUAACCCCCACGCCCUUUUCCAAAAAAAAGAAAUAAUGAAAUUAAUUAUUUAAUUAAUUAACCAAUUAAUUAGCUUAAUUAACUUUGUUUAGUUUACCUAAUUAACUUGAUUAGUUAAUUAAAACUGUUAGUUAGUUACUAGUAAAUGACAGAUGGGCCCCACUGCCCGGUUUGACCAGUCAACGGUCAGUGUUGACCGCUGACGUCACGAUGAGGUCAUGCUGGUGCAAUAACUUUGUUUUAGAAUUAAUAUCACUUUCAGAAUAUUGUUAAACCUUCAAAAAAAUCAUAGAAAUUAAACCGUAGCUCAGAUCGAAAAACUUUGUACAUGAAAGUUGCUCAGAACGACGAGACGAAUCCGAAAGCGCGGUCUGUUUACCUGCCAGAUGCUUCUAACUACCUGAACAUGGAACUUUCCCGCUCCGGUCAUCUGUCUGACACAGGUCCGGAACCGGGAAAACAUUCCCGGUUGAAUUCCCCCUUCACCUAUAUCGUGUAGCCAUACGUUAGGUCACACCCGGCACAGCAUAUUGCCACGUUAUGCUUUGUGAUGCUAUGUUUGCUUUAAAUUUACUGUUUCUUCCCCCUCUUCUCUCCGGUAGACCCCGGGACUGGUGCUGCCCCUAUGAUCGACUACAUCAACGACGACCCUUCUUCCUUUCAUCGGAGCUUCCAGGCAAGCCCCCCCCCUUGAUCACCAGAUAUCACCUAUUCUUCUCUGUACUGCUUGCAUUAGAGUAGUGUAGCAUGUUACUGCUUUCCGUUAAUCCUAUCCUGAUGCAUAGCCUGUCAUUGUUGCUACAGUUGUUACCCUUACCUGCUAUCCUACUGCUUAGUAUAGGAUGCUAGUGUUCCAUCAGUGGCCCUACACUCUUGUCCGUCUACCAUGCUAUACUACUGGGCCGUGAUCACAUCGGGAGGUGAUCACGGGUAUAUACUAUAUACAUUAUAUACAUGACAAAUGUGGUGACUAAAGUCGGGUCGGCUCGAGGAGUACCCGCAAGUGAUUCUGAUGAGGGGGCUCAAAGGACAGGUGGCUCCACCCGGGUAGAGGUGGGCCUGGGUUCCUGACGGCCCCCGACUGUUACUUUGUGGCGGAGCGACAGGGCAGGUUGAGACCACCCAGGAGAGAGGUGGGCCUGGCCCUGGUCGGCGUUCGCGGUUACUUAACACGCUUAAUGAGAUCUUGGUAUUUGAUCUGAGUCUGGCCAUUUGGUCUAUACGCACUAACUAUCUACGCGGGAGUAGUUAUGGGUAUCCCGACGUCGUGGUAUCAGCCGAAGAUCUUUUGACGUCAGCGACUGAGUGGCGCUCGCCGCAUUGGACCGUAAGCUCGCGCUUGUAUUAAGGGGGCUAGGUCUGCUUCCGGCCGCGUACGCAACGUGCAGGUGUGCAUAGGGCGAUGGGCCCAGACCCCUGCGCGCAUAGGUUUAGACCGGCGUGCUGACCUCUCUGUUGAGCCUAGGUGGGUCUGCGACGUGUUGAUCUUAUGAGGCCGGGCAUGACCCAGUAAAGUGUGUCCGGCCAAAUGGGAUUGAGCGUGUUGGGUUAUGUGGUGCACCCCUGCAGGGAAGUUUAUCUAUUCGAAUAGCCGUGUCCCUCGGUAAAAGGACGACCCGGAGUUGUACCUUGACCUUAUGACAACUAGAACUGGAUACUGAAUAAAAUACACCCUUCCAAGUGCCAGAUACAACCCGGUGGUCGCUCUAUAACAGGGCGACGAGGAGCGGAUCGCCGGGUAGGAUUAUGCUAUGCGAUGCUACUUGGAGGACUUCAAUCUACUCUCUUCUACUUGCUGCAAGAUGGAGGCUGCCAGAAGCGUAGUCUUCGACAGGACUAGCUAUCCCCCUUUUAAUCUGGCAUUCUGCAGUUCAGUCCACUGAUAUGCCCCUUUACACAUAUACCCAUGCAUAUGUAGUGUAGCUCCUUGCUUGCGGGUACUUUGGAUGAGUACUCACGGUUGCUUUUCUCCCUCUUUUCCCCCUCCUAUACCUGAUUGUCGCAACCAGAUGCUGGAGUCCAGGAGCUAGAGAUCCCGAGGAUGAUUCUACAUGGAGUUCGGCUUCGAGGAGUAGUUAGGAGGUCCCAGGCAGGAGGCCUUGUCUUUUCGAUCGUUGCUACUUUUGUGCUAGCCUUCUUAAGGCAAACUUGUUUAACUUAUGUCUGUACUCAGAUAUUGUUGCUUCCGCUGACUCGUCUGUGAUCGAGCACUUGGAUUCGAGCCCUCGAGGCCCCUGGCUUGUAUUAUGAUGCUUGUAUGACUUAUUUAUGAUGUAGAGUUGUGUUGUGAUAUCUUCCCGUGAGUCCCUGAUCUUGAUCGUACACAUUUACGUGCAUGAUUAGUGUACGGUCAAAUCGGGGGCGUCACAAGUUGGUAUCAGAGCCGACUGCCUGUAGGAAUCCCCCUUUCCAAAUCCUUGGCCGAAGUCGAGUCUAGUCAUUGAAAAACUUUUACUAACAUGGCUGUGUGGUUUACGGGCCCACCUCGCCAUUGGGUGGUAGUAGGAUCUUUUAUUCCUCGUCUAUACUCUGGGACUCUGAGCUCUCUUCUAUUCGGGUAAAUUGAUUUUGCUAAAAACAAAACUAACUUUAGGUUCUCGAAAAUACUAUCUCCCGGAGAGCCCCUUCAGUCCAGAUGAUCGCCGACUGCAUCAGAAGAUUUCGAAGAUACUCUCCGAUAUUCUCUCAAGACCUUGUGCCCGUUGCCUUUGCAAUUCCCUACCACCAAAAUAUCCCUAUGGAUAAAUACUUACACCUGUCAUUCUUACUUUUAUUCCCAGUCGAUCUUGUUAAUACAAAAUACCCCGAGAAUACUUUGUGCCUACUGCCUUGCAGUUCUUUGCCAGCUGAAUACCCCUACGAAUAAAUUCUCGCAUUUACCGAGUAUCCGCUCAUCCACAGUUGAUUCAAGUAUUUCACAAAAGUGUUCAAAAUAUCAUUCGAUUUUCCGAAAAUCUUCAGGAGCCUUUUUGCUCUUGAAAUUCUUGCUUACUUGCAUUAUGAUUAAUCUUAAGUCUCAUAAUCUUAUCGGCAUCUCUUGUCAUUAUCAUUUUGAGUCCGUUGAUUCAAUUUGUUGCGAAUGCUCGCGAUCCUCAAUCAUAUCCUAGAAUUCAUUCUUCCGGCUCAGACGUCAUUUUAAACGUGAGUUGGAUCUCGACCUAUCAAAUUGCCAUCGAUGGUACCCCUAAGCCUACUCAACUUAUCCAUCCUUGAUCAGAGCGUUGCUUCUGACCCCAUGAUUUGGAAAUCAUAAUUCCUUUGCAUUUGAACUUUGAGUUAGUCAGUUGUUUCUAUAGUAUGAUCUUCUUGCAUUCUUCUUCCUCUGGUUGAGUACUGAUGCUCACAUCAGAUCCCUUGUGGACCACCAGACCCUUUUGUCAGAUUUUAUACAACAAUGUCCUCCAUAUUAAAUAAGCUGGUGAGCUUUUCCUCGGCUAUAUUAUACCUUUGGUAAAUUGUAUCAUCUGUUUUGUGAACCAUGCUCUACUUUUGAGCUUGUAUUAUUUACUCCGAAGUUUGUGGUAUAUGUUUCCACGAUGCCCCGAUGGGUUGAACCUAUGCGUUCCUUAAUCUGUGUGAACCCGAAAGAUUUCGCGGGACAUACUUAUCUGGUAUUGCACCAGGUAAAACUUUCGACAACUAAUGUCAUUAUCAAAAUACGAGAGGCGAAUGGAAGGUUAUGCAUUGAAGAAGUGGGAGUCGACCUUGAACCUUUGUGUUCAUGCCCAUGGACACGAUGUAGAUCCUAUCAUGGAAGCUUCUCUUAUAAUAAUUACCCCCUUGUAAUAAGUUUAUCUAGUAUCCGUGGACGUGGUUCCGACCAUGUUUCUCCUUGAUUCCGUUUCUCGUGCAAGUUUGAGCACUUGUCUUCUGCAGGGCAAUACCCUAGUCCAACCUUUACCUUGAUCUGUCGUUGAGUAUUACCCCCUGGUAUCUCGAGAUUAUCAUGGAACUGCAUAACUUCUUAUGAGUUUUUCAUCAAGUGCUACAUUCUCACUGAUUCCAAUUUUCCACGGGCUCUGAGUUAUUAGUCACUCGAGAACACCGAUAAGCGAAUCGAUUCCGCACUCUGAUUCAAUAACUCUAAGUAAUUCUUGUUGCUUACGAGUUUAAUAAUCGUUCAAGUCAUUCCUAGCCUUAUCGGCUAUAUCAUUAUCGUGCAAAAAUUUUAACUGUGCUACCGGGUCCUUCCCGGAACACAACUUUCGAUGAUGAGCUAAGCUUACGUCGAUCUUCCUCGUCAUAUUAGUUCGCCUUGAACAACAAGCUUGAUUUCAAGUUUGUGUCGUACCCCUGGUUCCAAUAACUUUUCGCUUCAUCAUUCCUUUGACUUGAUGUCAUCGCCGAUCGAUUACCUCUUCAUAACUUCUCGCGACAAAUGUGUCGUGAACAUCAUCAACAUUCCGAGCUCUUCCAAGAUAUCUAUCGAAUUCUGGAUGAGAAAUACCAUCCUUGCCCUCGAUGAUUUGUUUUAUCAUCGACCAUUUUAUUGCCUUCCAUUCAACACAAACUUGUUCGUGUUUUGUGUUGUACCUUGAUAUCCUUGCUAUCUAGCUUAUGAUAUGUUCUACCCUGGAGUAUUACCAUCUUUUAUGUCAUGUAUGUCGUAAGAAUCUCACCACCUCGUAUGACAUCUUGGUACAGUGAUACUUCUCCCCAUCACCAUUCUUUCUUGGUCCCCGUGUUGUUUCUAAAAGGAAUACCGACAAAUGGUCUGUGAUGUGUAAAUUCUAAACUUCUAGAAACCCUAUUGCUUUGAAGUUAUUGGUCUAUAGUUUCAUUCUACGUCUAUGGCAUAAUGAAUCACCAUUCGAACAUUGAUUGUGCUACCUAGCCCAUAUUUCGGGUGCACAUUUCAACCAAUGUUUAACUGUGUAUGUUUUCCUCGAGCAUACAUCAUUAAGUCAUUCGAUCUAGCUAAUGUUAUCUCCUUGUUCACAUAGUGUUGGAAAUCCAUCUUUUGGAAAUCUCAAUGGAUUGUCGCUGAGUCAAUUAGUCACCUCCUCACCUCUCCUUGAUGUAAUGAUGAACCCUUGUUCAGAACUCGCUUCCAGAGUUCAUCUCCCGAGAAUCUUUGAUGUCGUUUUGACAAUUUGUGUUGCACCUAUCUUCUCAGACAUCCUGAGUCUGAGUUAUCCUGAAACCAAUCAGAUCUGAAUCUCGGUCAGAUAUGAUGGUUGGAACAUAUUUCCAAGAGUUAUAACAUUGGCCUAUUUAUGACCCGGUAAGGUGAUGAUACCCAGCACACCUGGCGGGAGGACCUAUUGUUAUAGUUUUCUUUUUGGCAAGGUUAGUCAUUCUUCCGCAAGGAAAUUGUAAGACUUAUUCUAUAAGUUGUUUCCGAUGGAUCCUUUGUAUCCAAAGUCUGACCUUUGCUUGAAGACCAUGCCAAUGUUAUCUCGAAGCAUGUCUGUGGUACUCCGAUUUUCAAUAAGAGCAUUUGAAGAACAAUGCAAAAUUUUCUUUGUCCAUUAUCCAAACACCGUUGUAUGGGUGAUGUCAUGAAAUUUCUCUCACCUUACCUAAAGAGUUUUCUACAUUAUAUCCUGUCCUGGAUAUCAUGCUCUGCUUGUCCUUGGGAAGGAUACACCCUUGAAAUAUGUGUUUAAACACAUUUUCCUUUCCAUUCUUCUGUUUAUUCUGAUAAUCAUAUUUUCCUUUCCAUUGUUUGGUUUAACCUUUCUGGUGAUCUAUAUGAUCUAAGCAGUAAUAUUCUCCUGCUUAUGUAAACACCUCGGUGUACAAUUCUGUCAGCAAGACCCUGUUACUAUUGUUGAUGACAUCCCGGUAGCCACCGAUGGACAAGAACUUUGCCUUAUGGUCCGCCUCGUUUCAACGAGCAGGAAAAUGGUUCUCUUCGUCCCUCGCCCUUGGUACCGACGAUGUUGCUGACAUAUAACUGACAGGCUACCCUCUGACAUGCCUUUCUAUCAUGAUCAUGCAAGAUGUCACCGCCCUUCCUACUUUUAACCCACAUGGUGGGCCCAUAACCCACAGUUCCACAGGAUCGAAACCUGACUCUCCUGUGCACCCCCUGUUCCCAAAUUUAUUCAUCGCGCGUGGCCUCGUAUGUAAUUCACGGACCACCGUCCUACUGAUCUAUACUGGCAUCAGACAUAAUACUUAUUCCGAUUGCUUUGAACCCCUUUCACACUUUGUUUCAGGCUUCGAACGAUUGCCUACCCGUUUGAAACUUCUCAUGGUACUUUCUUACUUGCUCUCGGCUUUUCUUAAGGUUUAGUUCGAGAGAUACUUUCCGCCACUUUCCCCGAUGAUGUUGACCAGAUAGUAAACCCUGCAGAAGUCCGUUCUUCCAGAAUACCCCUUUAUUCUUUCGUAAGUAUGAUGGAGUUCCUGGAGAAAGGAUGCCGAGUUCAUCAUGAUGACUUGAAGCAGCGGAAUGAAGACAUCAACGUAAUGGAUCGUCCUGUUCGGGAAGAGCUGCCAAGAACAAGAAGACUCGCUAGAAUUUCGUAACCAUAACUUUCCCCCUUACUCCCCUUCUUAAAAUCUCGGGACGAGAUUUCUUGUAGUGGAGGAGAAUUGUGACGCCCGGAUAAUUAGACUACGGUAAUUCCUUGCUAAUGAUGCCACGUCACCUCUGUCACUGUAGUUAAUCUCGGGUUAGUUCAAAACCGAUUCAAAUUUAAAAUUGAAUUAAAGUCAAACGGUAAAGAUUUUCUAAUAUUAAAACUAAAAUGUUGGGGUGUUGCCAAAUAAUGCAUAGGUAAUUAUUGUGCAGAAACAACAUUUUUAUAAAAAGUUUAAAUGCACUUAAAUGAUUAAAACAGUAGGUAAAACUAUUAAAUAAAUGCCUUUGAUAUUUUAUAAAAUCAUAAACUAUUUUAUCUUGAGGUAAAACUUUUUAGGGUAGUGGGUUGUUUUGAAACACUAAUUUGGAGCUAUUGUCAUAUUUUACUAAACUAAGAAUAAAGUGUAACUAAAAUAAAACAGAAAAGGAAAAAGAAUAAAAGAAAAGAAAACCAGAAAAACAAAAUAAAAGGAAAUAAAA
RNAcentral lists this long non-coding RNA (8336 nucleotides) under Triticum aestivum (bread wheat). RNAcentral describes it as "long non-coding RNA (TAES_LNC008588)". The record is from RNAcentral. Lineage: Eukaryota; Viridiplantae; Streptophyta; Magnoliopsida; Poales; Poaceae.